Molecule: unclassified non-coding RNA, 218 nt
Filed under: Hevea brasiliensis (rubber tree)
Lineage: Eukaryota; Viridiplantae; Streptophyta; Magnoliopsida; Malpighiales; Euphorbiaceae
Source: RNAcentral
GAGGAUGCAGACUACAAAGAAGAUAAGAUUGAAUUUUGGAAUAAUGUCUAUGGCUUUAACAUGAGUUGUAUCAAGAAGCAAGCCAUUAUGGAACCUCUUGUUGAUACAGUUGAUCAGAAUCAAAUUGUCACAAACUGCCAGCUACUCAAGACUAUGGAUAUCUCUAAAAUGGUCUCUGGGGAUGCUUCCUUCACAGUUCCUUUUAAGCUUGUGGCAGA